Molecule: ribosomal RNA, 643 nt
Filed under: uncultured Actinomycetes bacterium
Lineage: Bacteria; Bacillati; Actinomycetota; Actinomycetes
Description: bacterial SSU rRNA
Rfam family: Bacterial small subunit ribosomal RNA
Source: RNAcentral
CGCGGCCUAUCAGCUUGUUGGUGGGGUGAUGGCCUACCAAGGCGACGACGGGUAGCCGGCCUGAGAGGGUGUCCGGCCACACUGGGACUGAGAUACGGCCCAGACUCCUACGGGAGGCAGCAGUGGGGAAUAUUGCACAAUGGGCGCAAGCCUGAUGCAGCGACGCCGCGUGGGGGAUGACGGCCUUCGGGUUGUAAACCUCUUUCAGCUCCGACGAAGCGCAAGUGACGGUAGGGGCAGAAGAAGCACCGGCCAACUACGUGCCAGCAGCCGCGGUAAUACGUAGGGUGCGAGCGUUGUCCGGAAUUACUGGGCGUAAAGAGCUCGUAGGUGGUUUGUCGCGUUGUCCGUGAAAUCCCACGGCUUAACUGUGGGCGUGCGGGCGAUACGGGCAGACUGGAGUACUGCAGGGGAGACUGGAAUUCCUGGUGUAGCGGUGGAAUGCGCAGAUAUCAGGAGGAACACCGGUGGCGAAGGCGGGUCUCUGGGCAGUAACUGACGCUGAGGAGCGAAAGCGUGGGGAGCGAACAGGAUUAGAUACCCUGGUAGUCCACGCCGUAAACGGUGGGUACUAGGUGUGGGUUUCCUUCCUUGGGAUCCGUGCCGUAGCUAACGCAUUAAGUACCCCGCCUGGGGAGUACGG